RNAcentral lists this ribosomal RNA (494 nucleotides) under uncultured bacterium. Its description in RNAcentral is "partial 16S ribosomal RNA". It matches the Rfam family "Bacterial small subunit ribosomal RNA", at positions 28 to 507 of the family's 1533-position model. The record is from RNAcentral.
GACGAACGCUGGCGGCGUGCUUAACACAUGCAAGUCGAACGGUGAAGCGCCUUCCUUUUUGGUGGGUGUGGAUGAGUGGCGAACGGGUGAGUAACACGUGAGUAACCUGCCCCCUUCUUCUGGAUAACCGCAUGAAAGUGUGGCUAAUACGGGAUAUUCUGGGUCUGUCGCAUGAUGGGUCUGGGAAAGAUAUUGUUUCGGUGGGGGAUGGGCUCGCGGCCUAUCAGCUUGUUGGUGGGGUGAUGGCCUACCAAGGCGGUGACGGGUAGCCGGCCUGAGAGGGUGGACGGGCACACUGGGACGGAGACACGGACCAGACUCCUGCGGGAGGCAGCAGUGGGGAAUAUUGCACAAGGGGCGCAAGCCUGAUGCAGCGACGCCGCGUGAGGGAUGGAGGCCUUCGGGUUGUGAACCGCUUUCGCCAGUGAAGCAGGCUUGCCUCGUUUGUGGGUGGGUUGACGGUAGCUGGAUAAGAAGCGCCGGCUAACUACGUG